Molecule: ribosomal RNA, 484 nt
Filed under: Acinetobacter baumannii
Lineage: Bacteria; Pseudomonadati; Pseudomonadota; Gammaproteobacteria; Moraxellales; Moraxellaceae
Description: bacterial SSU rRNA
Rfam family: Bacterial small subunit ribosomal RNA
Source: RNAcentral
UGUCGUCAGCUCGUGUCGUGAGAUGUUGGGUUAAGUCCCGCAACGAGCGCAACCCUUUUCCUUACUUGCCAGCAUUUCGGAUGGGAACUUUAAGGAUACUGCCAGUGACAAACUGGAGGAAGGCGGGGACGACGUCAAGUCAUCAUGGCCCUUACGGCCAGGGCUACACACGUGCUACAAUGGUCGGUACAAAGGGUUGCUACACAGCGAUGUGAUGCUAAUCUCAAAAAGCCGAUCGUAGUCCGGAUUGGAGUCUGCAACUCGACUCCAUGAAGUCGGAAUCGCUAGUAAUCGCGGAUCAGAAUGCCGCGGUGAAUACGUUCCCGGGCCUUGUACACACCGCCCGUCACACCAUGGGAGUUUGUUGCACCAGAAGUAGCUAGCCUAACUGCAAAGAGGGCGGUUACCACGGUGUGGCCGAUGACUGGGGUGAAGUCGUAACAAGGUAGCCGUAGGGGAACCUGCGGCUGGAUCACCUCCUUAA